Molecule: ribosomal RNA, 440 nt
Filed under: uncultured bacterium
Lineage: Bacteria
Description: partial 16S ribosomal RNA
Rfam family: Bacterial small subunit ribosomal RNA
Source: RNAcentral
CUACGGGCGGCUGCAGUAGGGAAUUUUCCACAAUGGGCGAAAGCCUGAUGGAGCAACGCCGCGUGCAGGAUGAAUGCCUUAGGGUUGUAAACUGCUUUUAUAUGUGACGAUUAUGACGGUAGCAUAUGAAUAAGGAUCGGCUAACUCCGUGCCAGCAGCCGCGGUCAUACGGAGGAUCCAAGCGUUAUCCGGAAUUACUGGGCGUAAUGAGUUGCGUAGGUGGCAUGGUAAGUAGAUAGUGAAAGCGUGUGGCUCAACCAUACUUACAUUAUCUAAACUGCUAAGCUAGAAGACGAGAGAGGUAGAUGGAAUUCCCAGUGUAGGAGUGAAAUCCGUAGAUAUUGGGAGGAACACCGAUGGCGUAGGCAGUCUACUGGCUCGUUCUUGACACUAAGGCACGAAAGCGUGGGGAGCAAACGGGAUUAGAUACCCGCGUAGUC